AUCGUCACAUCCUCUUUCCGUUGCUCUUCUCGCUUUGAGGUACGGAAAACCACUUCACUGCAUACUCAAUCCUAAUCAAUCACCACAUUUUCUAAGUCAUCCACAGCCAUUAACGGUCCAAUCUGUCUUAUUUUCACAGAAACUUCUCCACACGAUGAGAGCCAAGGUGAGUUGACCAAUCCUUCAAAGUUAUUUCCUGAUUCAGUUAAUGCUACUAGCUAACAACUGAAUCACUGCUAAUGGGCUGCUCUACACAGUCCCUCGGCGUUAGGAUUAGAAUUAUGCUCCCUAUUUUGUCUUUUCUGCAGUUUUCUUUAACUAUAUUACUCCUGUUUAACCCUUGAAUCAAUUUUUCUCUUAAAAUUAGGGUUCAGUUCAUAAUGUUGCUGCUAAAGUUCCCGCUUUAAUGCACGCUGUAGUGUUAGCAAUGCCGUACCCUAACCUAGGUGUGCUGUUCUAUGGUCUAUGUAGUUUAUGGGUACCACCACGUGAUAUUGAUCAGUAAAUUUGUUAAAUAGGGGGCCAGACAUGUGAAGUAUGACUGAUAAUUGUUGACUAAAAUGCUUUUUUUGUCAUUAUAGUGGAGGAAGAAGCGCAUGCGCAGGUAAGAACUCGUUUAUUUGUAUUCAUACUCAGUUGCCUCACAUGUGAUAUUUUCCAUGCACUCCACUAAAGAUCCGGUGUACAGGCUUCUGGUGCAUAUGAUGGUGAAACAAAAACUAAACUGAAGUGACAUUUAACUCAGUGGUGCUAUUUACAAUGCUUGAGUUCAUUAUGGUGGUCUGUUAAAUGUAUCUUCAUAGUAAUCUAUCCUAUGGUCAAGUCUGACAUGGAAGAGCUUUGCACAUGAAGUUUGAGACCCCAACUUCAGUCUAAUGUGUCAGGAAUCAGUUCAUAAAAUAGCAGAACUGAUGUAUAGUGUAAAGCAUGUUAUUCUUAAGCUGACUAUGAGAAAAUUAUUUUUAAAGAUGCUUAGUUUUUGUAAGACAGGCUUGAUGGUGUGAAAUCUUGUCAGAUAUCAUACGACCAGUUAGUUCCUCCACAUGAAUCUGAAAUAACCUCUGAAACCUUUGCAAGGUGACCAAGAAGCUGUCUGGCUGAAACUUAACUCAGAAUUUGUCAUUAACUGUUCCAUAAAACGCUGACAAAGACUGUAAAAGCUGCGCCAUGUAAAUUGCUGUGGGUUCAAUUGUUGUAUAGAUAAGGUGGAAAACCCCAGAAUUGGUGACGACACCUGAAAAUAAUACAUAAGUAACUGGCAGGCUUAAAGAACUGGCUUAAAUAACUUAAAUAUCUGUCCUAAAUCGGGCCCGACCGAUUUAUUGGCGAGACGAUUAAAUCAGCCAAUUGUAGCCAGUUGGAGACUUAUCCGUAAUCAGCCAAAACUCGCCGAUUUUUGCUGGUAUUUUCAGAAAUAAAAUGCGGCAAAUAAAAUUAUGUUUCACCUCAAAAUUGUUCCGCCAUUUGAAAAGUUCCGACUUAUCCUGUAGAUGGCGCAGCGACCUCUUGACAGUCUUCAUCCACCAACUAUUUGAAAACGCUUUUCUGGUCCGAGUUUUAUCAGUCGGUCUUUCUGUAGGCGUUAAGAGCAGUUUAAAAUUUGUCGAUUUUAAUUGGUAAUCUUUUUUUUUUUUUUUCCCCUAAUAUGCAUCGGCCCCAAAAAAAUCCAUAUUGGUCGGGCCCUAGCCUUAAAUAACUGGCAGGCGUAGGGUCUUUUGUUAAAAAUUUGUUUCUGUUUGUCUAGAGCUGUGAUUAACUCCUGUAUUUAGCCUAAAACUGCUGUGUGUUGGGUUCUUGACAGGCUGAAGCGUAAAAGGCGAAAGAUGAGGCAGAGGUCAAAGUAAGCCCUCAUCAUUGUCAGUUGUGCCUCUGUCAAAGCCUCUUCAGAUGACUGAAACAUCCAUCGGCGGAGAAAUGCCUCCAACCUCAAUCAGAUGACUGCGCUUCUAACUGGGCAAGCUGUGGACACCUGAAUGGAAGAUGGCAGACACUGGACAGUCUCUCAACAUCAGAACUAAAGCUGACCUGUUCAUGGACCAUAAUAAAUGUUUCUUAACCUUCAUGUGGUGUAUUGAACAAUAAAUGUACACUGUUUAAAAAGUUAAAGUUUCAGCCUCUGAAUGUAAAUUACUGGGGAUUUCAACUGUCAAAUUUGUGUUUUGUAGUUUGAAGGGAGUACUAUAUCCUUACGUUUUCCAUCACUAUAAGAGUACUGGACUGAAAUGAGUGUUUUCAUAAGCUUGUUACAGGGUUAAAUUUUCUACUAAAGGACUAGAGUACCAAUUAUUGCGAUUGGGCUGCAAAUACAAAUGAGUAAAAUGUUGAAACUGUCAUAACAGUUAAACAGCAGAAAAUGCCUUAUUUUAAAUUCAAACUAUGGUAAAUGGCUGUAGGGAGUUAAAAACUGCAUUUCUUCUUGACAGAGGAUAAAAUUUCAUUAAGAUAUAAACCAGUUGCUCUUGUGACUCCCGAUGGAUGAGUCAUCUAGCACAGAAUACUAAAAUUAGUUUGAAUAUGAAGUUUUUGCUCUUGAGCAAACUAAAGUGUGCCAGUGGAAGCACAGUGUGACAACACAUUGAAAACAUAAAUGGCACUUAUUUUAACACUUCAGCUAAAAAGUUGAGGGCAGGUCUUGCUACUUUUCAAAUAUGCUUCAAUGUGUUCUAUUUGGUUGGAAAUUCAGACUUCAAUUCAUAAGGUUGUUUACAUUGCUUACUUGCUUCCCUAUGUGCCUCCCCUUGUUAACAGUUUGGAGGAUCCUUUGAAAUUCAACUAAAGUUACUGCUUGGAUAUUUUAGCAGUACUGUUCAAUACAAACUAUGUAAUCCUUUCAAGUUGGUUAGGACCCUGGCACCAGUAGGAUUUUGCUCUAAUUACAGUCUGUCCUGGCAAAUGGCACUUAAAUGGUAAACAUACUAGCCCAUUCUCCAGUCUUCUGACCGGUAAAAGUGCCUCUACAUUGGGCCUGCAUAUUCACACUAAUGUCAGAGGCUUUUAUUUAAAGCUCCUGAAAGGAGUUUUCAUCUGGUUGUCAAACAGACCAAAAUUAAUGCAGAUGCCUCUCUGAAGACCUAAGAAAGCAAACAAGAUAAUCAAAACAACAUUUAUCAUUCCUGGAUAAUUAAUUUCAAUGUACAAAAUUACUACAGCUGGGUAGGCGUUUGUAAGAGUGUUAACCAGCACAUAGCAAAAACUGCAUAUACUUUACAUUUUCUAUUGCAAAUUGACUGUUGUUUGCCAGCAGGAUGAGAGUUUUGUGAAAAAUCACCACUUAACAUUUGGACAAGACUGGAAAAGACACAUUUGUCCACAGGAAGUGCCAAAAUUAACACAAAAUUAAAGUUCCCCACAGGAGCUUUAAGCACCUAUCUGUAUUGACCUAUUCCAUUCACAUCACCAAGGGCAGUAACAUUGUAUUUCCCUUAUAAUUGUACAGUUGUUGAUAUAAAAGUAGAAACUUGUGAAUGUUUUCAUAAAAACAACAAAUAAGACUGUAAAAAUCAAUGUACAGAUUACUAUACUUCUUUUAUAACUAAUCUGGAAUGUUUGCUUUUACUUAACGAAAGUUUCAUUUGUCAGUAUUUUUCUACUUCAGGGAUUGACAGCUAUUUACUCCAUCAUGUGGUGGUAAGGUGAAAUAUUCAGACUUUACAUUACUCAUAAACUCCACUGAGACAUAGCCCUACCCCUCUGAUUGCCCUCUAAAGUUAUCAAAUCUUCCUGCACAUGUGUCAAUCUGAUAAGAUUUUGGACAAUUAUACUGAUCCGGGGGAUUUGACUGAUUUAAAGGUAAACACUAAUGUACGGUGGCCGAGAACCGGUAAUGUCGUAAAUAAAAAAAAGAAACCACAACGGAAGUAACUGAUGCAUAAAUAAAAAAGAAACCGAAGCCUGCUGCAAAAAAAAAAAAAAAAAACACUGCAGAUAAAAAAACAGAAAAACCACAAUGGAAGUUAAUGAUGCAAGAAAAAAGUGGUAAUGCAAAAACAAACAAACAGUUACUUACUGCAAAAAUAAAAGGAUGCAAUUAAUAAAAGCCACAAUGGGAGUGAGCUGCCAGGGACCAAAAAUUAUGAUGCACCGGUGUUUUACGAUCUAGGCACAGAAGACAACGGCGAGAAGACGUUAUUGUUUAAUUUCGCUUCAUAUCGACUCAGGCACUACAUGGCCUAACCAAAUGACACAUUGAAAAGUUUAUGAAGUUGAACUGGAGGAUGCCGGUGUAGUGUUAGCUUCAGUUCGACUUCAUAUCGACUCAGGCGCUACAUGGUCUAACCAAACGACACAUUGAAAAGUUUAUGAAGCGAAAUUAAACAAUAACCUUUCCACUAACUUCUUCGCUUGUCUUCUCGCCGUCGUCUUCUCUGCCUAAAUCGUAAAAUACCAGUGCAUCAUCAUUAUUGGUCCCUGGCGACUCACUUCUGAUGUGCCUUUUUUUUAUUUGCAUCCCUUUAUUUUCACAGUAAGAAACUUUUUUUUCCAUCGCCACUUUUUUUUUAAUUUUUAUGCAUCAUUAACUUCUGUUGUGGCUUUUUUAUCUGCACCGUAUUUUUUUUUUAUUUGCAACGAGCUUCGGUUUCUUUUUCUUUCUUUUUUUUGCAUUAGUAACUUCCAUUGUGACUUCUUUUCU
RNAcentral lists this long non-coding RNA (4630 nucleotides) under Xyrichtys novacula (pearly razorfish). The record is from RNAcentral. Lineage: Eukaryota; Metazoa; Chordata; Actinopteri; Labriformes; Labridae.